CCUACGGGAGGCAGCAGUGAGGAAUAUUGGUCAAUGGACGAGAGUCUGAACCAGCCAAGUAGCGUGAAGGAUGACUGCCCUAUGGGUUGUAAACUUCUUUUAUAUGGUAAUAAAAUGUUCCACGUGUGGGAUUUUGUAUGUACCCUAUGAGUAAGGAUCGGCUAACUCCGUGCCAGCAGCCGCGGUAAUACGGAGGAUCCGAGCGUUAUCCGGAUUUAUUUGGUUUAAAGGGAGCGUAGGUGGAUUGUUAAGUCAGUUGUGAAAGUUUGCGGCUCAACCGUAAAAUUGCAGUUGAAACUGGCAGGCUUGAGUACAGGAGAGGUGGGCGGAAUUCGUGGUGUAGCGGUGAAAUGCUUAGAUAUCACGAAGAACUCCGAUUGCGAAGGCAGCUCACUGGACUGCAACUGACACUGAGGCUCGAAAGUGUGGGUAUCAAACAGGAUUAGAUACCCCGGUAGUC
Molecule: ribosomal RNA, 460 nt
Filed under: uncultured bacterium
Lineage: Bacteria
Description: partial 16S ribosomal RNA
Rfam family: Bacterial small subunit ribosomal RNA
Source: RNAcentral